GACUCGGGGAGGUAGUGACGAAAAAUAACAAUUCAAGACUCUUAACGAGGCCUUGAAGUUGGAAUGAGUACACUUUAAAACUUUUAACGAGUAACUAUUGGAGGGCAAGUCUGGUGCCAGCAGCCGCGGUAAUUCCAGCUCCAAUAGCGUAUACUAAAGUUGUUGCGGUUAAAAAGCUCGUAGUUGGAUCUUGGAAUGUGUUCAAGCGGGUCAGCUUCUGGCUGUGCGCUGCUUGACGUGUUCUUCUAUUUGGUUUUGGUGCGGUGCGCUUAACUGCGUGUCGCUCCCGGCCGAAACGUUUACCUUGAAAAAAUUAGAGUGUUCAAAGCAGACCUGUUUGAGUCUGAAUAUUCGUGCAUGGAAUAAUGAAAUAUGAAUUCGGUUCUAUUUUGUUGGUUUUCGGAACUCGAGUUAAUGAUCAAGAGGGACAGACGGGGGCAUUCGUACUCUGCCGUUAGAGGUGAAAUUCUUGGAUCGGCGGAAGACGCGCAACUGCGAAAGCAUUUGCCAAGAAUGUUUCCUUUAACCAAGAACGAUAGUCGGAGGUUCGAAGACGAUCAGAUACCGUCCUAGUUUCGACUGUAAACUAUGCCAGCUAACGAUCAGACAGAGUUCUCUACGACUUGUCUGGCAGUUUCCGGGAAACCAAAGCGUUUGGGUUCCGGGGGAAGUAUGGUUGCAAAGCUGAAACUUAAAGGAAUUGACGGAAGGGCACCACCAGGAGUGGAGCCUG
Molecule: ribosomal RNA, 733 nt
Filed under: uncultured marine eukaryote
Lineage: Eukaryota
Description: SSU rRNA
Rfam family: Eukaryotic small subunit ribosomal RNA
Source: RNAcentral